GAUAAAAAUUCCGAAGUUGAACCGAACUCUCCCCACCACUCUUUAGGGAUAUUCUGUGGGACCCGUAUCCCAAUCAAGACCGAUCGUGGAUCCGAUCUCUCCCUUCCAUUCGUCACGGAUAAAUAUUCCGAUGUUGACCCGAUCUCUCCCCACCAUUUUUUUAGGGACCCGAAUUAUCCCGAUGCUGAACGAAAACUGUUUUUUGUCAUGGAUAAUUAUCUCGGACGUGGUCGGAUUGAAAAAUAGAAAAGGCCCCUUUAUAAAAUGAUGGGUUCGAUUUUUAUGGGAACACAAGUGAUAUGGAAUGAUGUUUAGUUUUUAAGGACGAAAAAAACUAUCGGUUUGAAAAUAUACUUUUGGUGUGUAGAAACGGGUUGGGUUCCAAUAGAAUCGAAGUUUACAUUAGAUUCAAUGUUUGUUUUUAACUCGCCAUGAAAAAUCAAAGUUUAUCCCGAGGUCAAGAUGUUUUCUAGGCGCAGGGGCUGAAACGCAUGCAAGUUCGGGGGGAAAAUUUUGGAAUGCGAUUGGUCAAAUGAACCGUUUGAGUUCAUGUAAUCAACCAAAAGGGGAAAUAUAAUGAAUAUGAUUGGUCAAAUGAAUCUCUUUGAUUCAAAAAGACAUCAUAUGGGGAAACAGCACAAUUGAAAGAAGGAUAUAUGCACAUCUCUUUCCAGCUCAGGAACUCCAGGAUUCUUUUCUGAUUCCAGAGUGGGGAUGAUUGAAAAGUGUAGUGCAUAUGUAUUGUAAUGAGAGUUGAUGUGUAGGUUGAAAUCUCAGGAUAUAAAAACCGCUGCCGGACCCUUGAUCGUGGGAAGUGCUUAGAAUUUUUUUUCAAGAGUUGUUAUUAAGAAGUUGAGUCGUUACAGAGCUUAGGGAAGUUAUUUAGGGAGUUCUUAGAAAGUGAUAUUGAAGUGUAUAGUGAAGACAUAUGCGGAAAUUCAGGGAGGUGAAGAAUACUCCGCCGUAAAUAAACGUGUGUGCCUCGUGCAGUGUUGCAAAGAUGAGCAUGUCAUCAAAAACUAGGUAGCCCCCGCCCCCGCUAGGUGGAGAAACUGGAAGAACCUAUGUUCCAGAUCCAAUCGGAUCAUAAGCCGGAUUUCUCUCCAAGUCGUUGAUGUGUGUUAAGAACGCUCCGUCGGUUGGUUCUGCUGAAUAUGGCCCAACUCCACUUAGCAGAUGAUCAGCUGAUGAUUUUGUUCGAAGGCAAGAAGUGCAUCAGGGAAACCAGACUGGACCCGUUUGUUGGUAAGUUUGAUGCAAGAAGCGGAAUGACAGGAAUGUAACGAUGUUCUUUCUUGAUUUCUUGCAGGUUGGUCAAUUCCCAGCUGCUCAUGCCAUGCUGUAAAAGAAAUUCAAGGUGAAGGUGAUCAUUCCCAAUGACCUCGACCUCCGGAACCGUCGACGUAUGCAAUCUGCAGAUUCAAACGGUUCUGCAGGAACGUCGCAACCAACACCAAGCAGACAUCGACAUUUUAUCCGGAGUCCGAACUUCGGACCUCCUGGCACCUCGACGCUAGUGGAAACAGUGGUACACAUCUGGAAGCUGCAGUACAAGGGCAACGUAUUGAGAUUGUUAAGAGUUUGUUCCCGCUACGGAUGUUUCUCGGCAUUAGUCCUGGCCGAAUAUAAAUAAAAUAGGCGUUGAGAUUUCGAAUAUGAUACCGUGGCUGGCUACGUGUAGUAACAUUUAGGCGGGGGUUCAUAUUUUGGGCACGCUAAACUCAGCUAAAUUUAGACCAAUUUUCUAUGCAUACGUAUUUAUACAGACAAAUAAACAAUUAUAGUUAGA
Molecule: long non-coding RNA, 1789 nt
Organism: Aedes albopictus (Asian tiger mosquito)
Lineage: Eukaryota; Metazoa; Arthropoda; Insecta; Diptera; Culicidae
Exons: 2
Source: RefSeq, a predicted model, not a curated record